RNAcentral lists this ribosomal RNA (637 nucleotides) under uncultured bacterium. RNAcentral describes it as "bacterial SSU rRNA". It matches the Rfam family "Bacterial small subunit ribosomal RNA", at positions 85 to 741 of the family's 1533-position model. The record is from RNAcentral.
UCUUGACCUAGUGGCGGACGGGUGAGUAACUCGUGCUCAAUCUGCCUUUGGAUGGGGGAUAACAGCCGGAAACGACUGCUAAUACCGCAUAAUGCAACAGGAGCGCAUGAUUUUGCUGCCAAGAUUUAUCGUCCCAAGAUGAUCUCGCGUCUGAUUAGUUAGUUGGCGGGGUAACGGCCUACCAAGACAACGAUCAGUAGCCGGACUGAGAGAGUGGACGGCCACAUUGGGACUGAGACACGGCCCAAACUCCUACGGGAGGCAGCAGUGGGGAAUAUUGCACAAUGGGGGGAACCCUGAUGCAGCAACGCCGCGUGAGUGAAGAAGUAUUUCGGUAUGUAAAGCUCUAUCAGCAGGGAAGAAAAUGACAAAAAAAGACUAAGAAGCUCCGGCUAAAUACGUGCCAGCAGCCGCGGUAAUACGUAUGGAGCAAGCGUUAUCCGGAUUUACUGGGUGUAAAGGGAGCGCAGGCGGUACGGCAAGUCCGAUGUGAAAGCCCGGGGCUCAACCCCGGGACUGCAUUGGAAACUGCCGCACUAGAGUGCCGGAGAGGUAAGUGGAAUUCCUAGUGUAGCGGUGAAAUGCGUAGAUAUUAGGAGGAACACCAGUGGCGAAGGCGGCUUACUGGACGGUAACU